This is a long non-coding RNA of Cannabis sativa, 604 nucleotides long. RefSeq lists it as uncharacterized. The record is from RefSeq and is a predicted model, not a curated record. The transcript has 3 exons. Lineage: Eukaryota; Viridiplantae; Streptophyta; Magnoliopsida; Rosales; Cannabaceae.
AUUUUAAAUUAUUAUGUGGUUUUUUUUUUUCAUUUUUUUAAGUUUCUUUUAUUUUUUUUCCAGAUAUAGAAAACUAGUGGUUUUCCAUUUUCACCUCUCCAUCUUCUCCCAUCUUCACCUCUCCGUUUUCCAUUUCCUUCUCAGGCAGCUCCCAUCUUCACCUCUCUGUUUACCAUUUCCUUCUCAGGCAUGUGUGAUUUUCUUCUCAAUCAGAGUUAGGGUUCGAUUCCCUUUUCCAGCAAAGCUAGUGGUUCGAUUUCGACGGAGUUGGUGGUGCGAGUUUUCCUCAGGCGAAUCGAGUUGUUCAGGCGGAGAUUUGGUUGCUCAGGUCAUUAAUCAUUUAGAGAAUGUCUUCAUCUGAUUUUGAAUCUCAUAUGAAGAAAACAUCUAAAAAUACACAAUCCCCUUUUUCUACUCAUGGUGUUAAAAGGCUAGGUGUUAAAAAGAAGUGCAUUGGUGAAACUUCUAAAUGGAACAAGGUUCCUCAAUAUAUGAUUUUCCAAACAAAGCGAUUUGGAACAAAAGUUCAGCCUUUCAAUAAUCUCUGUAAUUUCUGACCUGGACACUACUUUUACUAAUAAACAAAAGGAGCUAUUUAAAGCAA